Molecule: ribosomal RNA, 384 nt
Filed under: uncultured bacterium
Lineage: Bacteria
Description: bacterial SSU rRNA
Rfam family: Bacterial small subunit ribosomal RNA
Source: RNAcentral
AUUGAACGCUGGCGGCAUGCCUUACACAUGCAAGUCGAACGGUAACGGGCCUUCGGGUGCCGACGAGUGGCGAACGGGUGAGUAAUGCAUCGGAACGUACUUUUCAGUGGGGGAUAAACGUAGCGAAAGUUACGCUAAUACCGCAUAUUCUGUGAGCAGGAAAGCAGGGGAUCGCAAGACCUUGCGCUGAUUGAGCGGCCGAUGUCAGAUUAGCUAGUUGGUGAGGUAAAGGCUCACCAAGGCGACGAUCUGUAGCGGGUCUGAGAGGAUGAUCGCCACACUGGAACUGAGACACGGUCCAGACUCCUACGGGAGGCAGCAGUGGGGAAUUUUGGACAAUGGGGGCAACCCUGAUCCAGCCAUGCCGCGUGAGUGAAGAAGGCC